CAAUGAAGGAAAUUCUAAAAGAAAGCGACUACAAGCAACAUUUGAAGUGAGCUGGGAGCCGGGGUCAUCCUUCUCACCACCAGUCGAACAUACUACUUCAGCCACCAUGUUGAGCGAUAUAAAAGUGUUCUCUAUUUCAGAGAGCAACAACACGAGAUUGUGCCCCCUCUUGCUCCAGGUGCAUGUUGCUGUAAUUAGUAUCAACAGAUUAAAUCAUGGACCAUGUCUCUGUUUCAUACCACCUCUGUUCAUAAAUAGAUAGCUUCCUAGAGAUUGUGCAGUCCUAAGGCCAUCCACACUAUUGCCCGUUAAAGCGUAUUGAGUGCA
Long non-coding RNA from Triticum aestivum (bread wheat), 327 nucleotides. RefSeq lists it as uncharacterized. The transcript has 2 exons. Lineage: Eukaryota; Viridiplantae; Streptophyta; Magnoliopsida; Poales; Poaceae. The record is from RefSeq and is a predicted model, not a curated record.